RNAcentral lists this ribosomal RNA (319 nucleotides) under Leuconostoc mesenteroides. RNAcentral's name for it is "bacterial SSU rRNA". It matches the Rfam family "Bacterial small subunit ribosomal RNA", at positions 953 to 1272 of the family's 1533-position model. The record is from RNAcentral. Lineage: Bacteria; Bacillati; Bacillota; Bacilli; Lactobacillales; Lactobacillaceae.
GAAGCAACGCGAAGAACCUUACCAGGUCUUGACAUCCUUUGAAGCUUUUAGAGAUAGAAGUGUUCUCUUCGGAGACAAAGUGACAGGUGGUGCAUGGUCGUCGUCAGCUCGUGUCGUGAGAUGUUGGGUUAAGUCCCGCAACGAGCGCAACCCUUAUUGUUAGUUGCCAGCAUUCAGAUGGGCACUCUAGCGAGACUGCCGGUGACAAACCGGAGGAAGGCGGGGACGACGUCAGAUCAUCAUGCCCCUUAUGACCUGGGCUACACACGUGCUACAAUGGCGUAUACAACGAGUUGCCAACCCGCGAGGGUGAGCUAAU